AGAGGUUCUUAUAUCUGAGUAUAUAAUGGAAUCACCAAAGUGACUUUAAAAAUGAUCAGUGAGGAAGCCCCACUCCCCAGAGAUCUGACCUCAUUAUCCUGGGGUGGCCAAGAUAGAGGUACAGCCUUCUGUGUGUGUGUUUGUUUGUUUGCUUGCUUGCUUGUUUGUUUUUAUGGCCCCACUUGCAGCAUAAGGAAGUUCCAGGCUAGGGGUUGAAUUGGGCCUGCAGCAGCAGGCCUGCACCAUAGCCAUAACAAUGCCAGAUCCGAGCCACGUCUGUGACCUAUACCACAUCUUGUAGCAACACCGGAUCCUUAACCCACUGAGACAGGCCAGGGAUCAAACCCACAUCUUCGCAGAGGCAAUGUUGGGUCCUUAACCCACUGAGCCAUAUGGGAACUCCCUGUGUGCGUAGUUUUAAGUCUGCUAGUGAUUCCACUGUGACACCAAGGUGAAGAGUUGCUGCUACUCUAGAGGAAACUAGAAUCAGCUCGGGAGCACAAGGCAGUGGUAAAGGCCUGGCUGGGGAAGUGGAAAAGGAGCCAGGGAAAAGACUGGGAAAUGUAGUUUUAGGAAACAGGGGACAUUAGGAUUAGAGAGAGCGUAUUCCAUAAUAAACCAGGCAAAGAUUUUUUCCUAAGAAAUAAUUAGCUGCAGAGAGCUGGGUUAGAAAGCAGAACAGAUAUGAAAAUAGCUGCAGUCUGUCCAGACAUUGAAGUUCCCUGGUGGCCUAGUAGUUAAGAAUCUGGCAUUGUCACUGCUGCAGCGUGGGUUCAGUCCCUGGCCCAGGAACUUCUGCACACCAUGGGUGCAGCCAAAAAUAAAAUAAAAUAAAAUAAAAGCCACUAGAAGCAGUCUUCUCCCUCCUGGGGCCUGAGGACUUUUGAACAUGGAUUUGUCCUGUGCUGUGUAGGAAUGCAUCCCCAGGUAUGAACAACUGUAGACCUGGUUGCCAAGAAUUGCCCAGAGGCCACAGCCUAAUUUCUUUCCAUAGUUUUUCUGAUAGACCAGUGUCACCCUGUGAAUGUCACUUCCCAUUCUGAGUUGGAUGUAAGUAGAAGUCCACUUCUAUACUGAGGAGCGGAUCAAGAUGCUUCCAGUAGUCUCCAAGCAGGGGCGCUGUUCUAAUUAAGAGAUCAUGUAGGCGGCCUGGAAGUGUUACAGUUGGCCCCAAGCCUUCUGGAGUUUGAUUGCAGUUUCAGGAUUCUGUUGUUGAAGGAACAAGCCACUAAAUGUUCCUUCUGGGGAAAAAAAAUUUUUUUAAGAGGUAAUUUUGUAUGAAAAGAAUGUGGUGUGUUGUUCACCAGGGUUUUCUAGCAAAUGAGAACAGAGAGAAAGAGAAUAGUAAGGGCAGAAAGGUGGGCAAGAGAGAAAGCCUACACCUACAUGAAUAGAUCAGCAAGCACAGGGCCAUACAUUCUUUUUUUUCCCCUCUUUUGGCUACCCCAAGGCACAUGGAGUUUCCCAGGCCACGCAUCAGAUCUGAGCCAAAGCUGUAACCUAUGCCACAGCUGUGGCAACAUCAGCUCCUUAACCCACUGUGCCAGACCAGGGAAUGAACCUGAGACCCAGUGCUGCAGAGACACCUCUGAUCCCCUUGUACCACACCGGGAACUCCAGGGACCAUACACUGUAAUUUUUGUACCUCUUUUGAAAAUACUGGUCCGGUUGGCUGUGGCAUACCUCAGAAACAUAAGGGUCUUCAGCUAAUUACCAGCUUUGCAUAUUACAACCUGAUUCAAGACCUUGAUCUAGACCAGGAGGACCUUGUGUCCCCCAUUGCCCUUUCAUGCUGAGCCUCUGAUAAAUGCCAGAGCCUUAGGAACUGCCCCCUGGUACAUUCUGCUCCUGACAGCUCUCAGGUUAGUCAUGAGCCCAUGCUUGGGACUGACGUGGGUGCCCAUGUCCUUGGCUUCUCUGCCUCAGUUUAUGAGGCUGACACCUGGGUAGGGGAGUUUGUCAGAGGUGACCAGAUAUAAGAUGUCAUGUGAACCCAGAAGUAUGGCUUUGCUUGGAUCUUAGGAUACGCAUGGCUCCCAAGAACAGGCCUCUUUGUAGAAAUAUGCUGGUGAGCUUUGUGGGUGACUCAUACAGCUUAGGCGCCCCGUUCCCUCAGAAAUCCUAGAAUGCAUCCCUCUACCAUGUUCCUGGAGGCUGCAAAUGAUUAUUGUACUAGUUGCUUCAUAAGCAGUAGUAUAAACUUAAAUACCAAACCUCUUCAUUUUUCCUUUCUUCCUGUCUUCUUUGGUCUCUCUCUCUUUCCUUCUUUCCCUGCCCCCUCCCUCCUUUCCCUUCCCUCCCGUCCUUCUGUCCUUCCUUUCUUCCCUCCUUCCCUCCCUCUGUCCUUCUCUCUUUCCUUCCAUCCUUCCUUCCAUUCUUCCUUCCUUCCCUUUCUUCUUCACCCUCCCUCCCUCUCUCCUUCCUUCCCUCCUUCCCUCCCUCUCUCCUUCCUUCCAUUCUACCUUCCUUCCCUCCCUCCAUCUCUCCUUCCCUCCCUCCUUCCUUCCUUCCUGUUUACUAGAUAUUUACUAUACGUCAGCUUUGGCUUAGGCACUGUGGAUAAAGUGGUGAGCUGCAAAGGACAUAGACAUGUUCUUAUGGAGUUUGCAGACCAGGGAGAACAGGGUGGCUGGCAAGGAGACAGAAGUGAAUCAAAUAAUGUCCUAAUGAAGGUAUAAUUAUAAACUCAUGCUAGUUCUCCUAAAGAAACAAAUACUUGUCCAUGAGGGUAUAUUAAAGAGCAGUGACUGGGGAAUCUGAAAAGGCUUCUUGGAUGAAGUUAUUCGGAAGCUGAGAUGUGAUGGGUGGAAAAGAAUCCAAAAAGAGGAGGCAGCUUGUGUAAAGGCCCUUCAGUAAAAGGAAUCAUAAAGAACCUGGGAAGAGGAGCAUGGGGCUAGCAGGGAGUGAGGGGAGAAAGAAGGGUUGAGGCGGGAGAGAUGGGUGAGGUCGGAUCAUGUAGGGACUUGAGGGCUGCGUUAAAAUCUGUGAGAAGAUAUUGACUGGUUUUAAGUGGAGGUGAGUGACAGAGUUUUGAUUUGAAAAAAAAAAUUACUCUGAUUGCUGUCUAGGGACACAUUGGGGAGAAGGAUGAAACAAAAGUGAGAAGACCAGUGAAAAGCUUAUUGUUGAAAUCUAGGCAAGAGAGGACAGUGGGUAAGAUUAACCAUGUUAGUGGGGAAAAUAUAGAUGCAGUUAAUUCCCAAGACGUCUAGCUUUACCAUGUAUAGUGUUGAUUGGAUUUGAGAUUGAGGAAGAAGGAGAAGUCAGGCAUGCCCCCGCUAGCCUUCUGUCCUGCAAAACUCCAAGAGGAGGACAAGGUUUGUUGUUGUUUGGCAUGAGUGUACAGUGCACACCAUGAGUUAAUUUUGACUGUCUUAAGUCUGAAUAUUUUUGGAAAACUUUAGAACAGAUGUUCACCAAGUACAGCCUCAAAGCUGACCUGUGAAAUUCCUUCCUGAUACACUCACAUACAAGUCUCCUAGAAGUAGCUGUCCAUCGCCCCCUGGAGGAACUUUCCACUUUGUAGCUUAUCUCCACUGAUGAUAGAGCCUUACCUGGAAGCAUGGUCCACCAUCCCGUGAGUUUAAUUUAUCCCUAGAACCAGGGGAUGUUGUGCUUCUGUCUCCAAACCCACAUGUAUAUCUGUACCCAGUUUAUCCUACCAGGGGCUGCUAUGGUUUUACGAGUCAUUUGGGGCAGUGGGAGAAAUCCUGAGUGGAUGAAAUUGAUUCCCAGUUGGACUCAGUCAUCACUGGCUGUGUGACUUGGCCAUUGCGAUUUCGCUAGAUCAAUAUUUCCUCCUGUGCGAGAGAAGCAGUUGAGCUAGACAGUCUGUAAGAGUCCUUCUGACUCUAAAAUCUCAUUGAUUCUAAUUUCUAAUCUCAAUCUGUACCAAUCAAGUCCCUUGGGGAAUGGAGAUAAAUGUUUCUAGGUAUAGGGAUUAAUCUUUGGCCUUUUCAGAAUCUGACAUGUUUGGUUUUCCCAAAGGGACUUUAAAUUAUCCAUCUUUCAUUUGUCAGCCUUAACCAGGUUACUUAUCAUUUCUAGCAACUUUUAAAUAGGGAGGGAGAAAUAUUUUUCUUAAAUGCCAGCUUUGACUCAUGGGCCAGGGUUCCCUGUUGAGGAUUUUGAUGCAGCAUCUUGGCUGAAAGGAGAAAGUUCCAUAAUUGACUGGUGAUGUCUGUCAUUGAUGUCUGAAGGGAAGUGGUGGCAUCUGAAAUGUCAUGUCUCCUCCCCACAGUUCUAAGAUCUGGUUCCUCUAUUUGCCCUGCCAAUGCAUGAGCACUCUCUGGUGGUUAAAAAAGUAAUUGCAGGAUUAUACUUUCCCAAAUUUAUUCUAGAACUGAAAUUGUCCUCUAUCUUGUAUUGUUUUAUUGUGUUGAAUUCUAAUGUCAUUUCCAACAAUUUGCUGGGAUAGUGAGGGGGGUGGCUAUAUGUCUAGGUCACUUUGUUUACUGGUGAACACAGUUUUGCACUUCCUGUGGAAAAUAUACUCUCCUUUUCUGUUUUCAAAAGGAAAACCUAAUGAAAUAAAUCUUUCUUUGUGGGUUGAAAAUCAUGUAGGAUCUCAGGGUUAGUCUUCCAAACUAGUACUUCUCAACUUUAAUGUACAUAUUUAUCAAAUGGGAUCUUGUUAAAAUCCAGAUUCGUGGAAUCUAAUCCCAGAGAUUCUGAUUCAGUAGGUAUGGAUAGGUAUUCUGACAAGUCCCUUGUCUGGUACCACACUUAGAAUAGCUAAUGUCUCAGGAGUUGCUGCUGUGGUAUAGAGAGUUAAGGAUCCAGCGUUAUCUCUGCAACAGCUCAGGUUCAAUCCCCAGCCUGGUGCAGUGGGUUAAGGAUCCAGCAUUGCUACAGAUAUGGAAUAGGUUGCAGCUCUAACUCAUAUUUAAUCCCUGGCCGGGGGAACUUCCAUAUGCCAUGGGUGUG
This 4926-nucleotide long non-coding RNA is filed under the name Sus scrofa (pig). RNAcentral describes it as "lncRNA (ENSSSCG00015005120.1)". Lineage: Eukaryota; Metazoa; Chordata; Mammalia; Artiodactyla; Suidae. The record is from RNAcentral.